RNAcentral lists this ribosomal RNA (578 nucleotides) under uncultured bacterium. RNAcentral describes it as "bacterial SSU rRNA". It matches the Rfam family "Bacterial small subunit ribosomal RNA", at positions 338 to 916 of the family's 1533-position model. The record is from RNAcentral.
CCUACGGGAGGCAGCAGUAAGGAAUAUUGGACAAUGGUCGCAAGACUGAUCCAGCCAUGCCGCGUGCAGGAUGACUGCCCUAUGGGUUGUAAACUGCUUUUGUACGGGAAUAAACCCUUCUACGUGUAGAAGGCUGAAUGUACCGUAAGAAUAAGGAUCGGCUAACUUCGUGCCAGCAGCCGCGGUAAGACGAAGGAUCCAAGCGUUAUCCGGAUUUAUUGGGUUUAAAGGGUGCGUAGGCGGAUUGAUAAGUCAGUGGUGAAAGCCUGUUGCUUAACAACAGAACUGCCAUUGAUACUGUCAAUCUUGAAUAUGUUUGAUGUGGGCGGAAUAUGACAUGUAGCGGUGAAAUGCUUAGAUAUGUCAUAGAACACCGAUUGCGAAGGCAGCUCACAAAGCCAUUAUUGACGCUGAGGCACGAAAGCGUGGGGAUCAAACAGGAUUAGAUACCCUGGUAGUCCACGCUGUAAACUUUGAUCACUCGCUGUUGGCGAUACACUGUCAGCGGCUAAGCGAAAGCGUUAAGUGAUCCACCUGGGGAGUACGAUCGCAAGAUUGAAACUCAAAGGAAUUGACGG